UAAAAAAAUGUAUAAUAUGGUAUUAAAACAUAAUUCUUUGGUAUAAUUUUGAUCGGUGGUCAGCUUAUCGGCCAUAUAUAAAUUGUAGCUUGGGGGAAUUUGCACCAUUGCUGAAACAGAUCGAAACACGCGAAACAUGAGCGGACAAGCGGACAUUGCUCUCAUCGGCCUGGCCGUCAUGGGCCAGAAUCUGAUCCUCAACAUGGACGAGAAGGGCUUCAAGGUGGUGGCCUACAACCGCACCGUGGCCAAGGUCAAAGAUUUCCUCGCCAACGAGGCCAAAGGCACCAAUGUGAUUGGCGCCGAUUCGCUGAAGGACAUGGUCUCCAAGCUGAAAGCCCCCCGCAAGGUCAUGCUGCUGGUCAAGGCUGGCAGUGCGGUCGACGAUUUCAUCCAGCAGCUGGUGCCGCUGCUCUCCGCCGGCGAUGUGAUCAUCGAUGGCGGCAACUCCGAGUACCAGGACACAUCCCGCCGCUGCGACGAGCUGGCCAAACUGGGCCUGCUCUACGUGGGAUCCGGCGUGAGUGGUGGCGAGGAGGGUGCCCGCCAUGGACCCUCGCUGAUGCCCGGUGGCCACGAGGCCGCCUGGCCCCUCAUCCAACCCAUCUUCCAGGCUAUCUGCGCCAAGGCCGACGGUGAGCCCUGCUGCGAGUGGGUGGGCGACGGCGGUGCCGGCCAUUUCGUCAAGAUGGUCCACAAUGGCAUCGAGUACGGUGACAUGCAGCUGAUCUGCGAGGCCUACCACAUCAUGCAGAGCCUGGGACUGUCGGCCGACCAGAUGGCCGAGGAGUUUGGCAAGUGGAACUCGGCCGAACUGGACUCCUUCCUGAUCGAGAUCACGCGCGACAUCCUCAAGUACAAGGACAGCAAGGGUCAUCUGCUGGAGCGGAUUCGCGACACCGCCGGCCAGAAGGGCACGGGCAAGUGGACGGCCAUUGCUGCUCUGCAGUACGGAGUGCCAGUAACGCUAAUUGGCGAGGCGGUCUUCUCCCGUUGCCUGUCCGCGCUGAAGGAUGAGCGUGUCCAGGCCAGCAGCUCGCUGAAGGGACCCUCGACCAAGGCGCAAGUUGCCAACCUGACCAAGUUCCUCGACGACAUCAAGCACGCCCUGUACUGUGCCAAGAUCGUGUCCUAUGCCCAGGGAUUCAUGCUGAUGCGUGAGGCGGCCAGGGAGAACAAGUGGCGGUUGAACUACGGCGGCAUUGCGCUGAUGUGGCGCGGCGGCUGCAUUAUCCGUAGCGUCUUCCUUGGCAACAUCAAGGAUGCGUACACGUCGCAGCCGCAGCUGUCGAAUCUGCUGCUUGACGAUUUCUUCAAGAAGGCCAUCGAGCGCGGCCAGGACUCGUGGCGCGAGGUGGUGGCCAACGCCUUCCGCUGGGGCAUCCCCGUGCCCGCCCUGUCCACCGCCCUCAGCUUCUUCGAUGGCUACCGCACCGCCAAGCUGCCCGCCAACUUGCUGCAGGCCCAGCGGGAUUACUUCGGUGCCCACACCUACGAACUGCUCGGUGAGGAGGGCCAGUUCCAUCACACCAACUGGACGGGAACCGGCGGCAAUGUCUCCGCCAGCACCUACCAGGCGUAGGUUCCGGUUCCGUUUCCGGUUACACCUCCUCCUUCUCCACUAUCCCCCGAUCACACAUUCCAUGUCAUAGGCGCCGGUGUCUGUAGAUGUUUCCUUGCUCUUUUUUUUUCUGGAGUACCUUAGUACUUAUUUAUACCAUUAAUAUAUAUCAAAUGAUUUCGGUUCCUUGGUUUGAUGGAUGCAAAGUGCCAUAUAAAAUCAACAGUGUGUGUGGUGUGUUGUGUGUGGGUCGAGUCUUUCGAGUUGUGUCUUCAUGUAGAGACGCCUCCUGCUCCUGCUCCUGCCAAUCGUCCAGCUGCUCCUCCUCCUCCUUCUCCUCCAUCCCUACUAUUGUACUCUCUUCAGCUACCGGCUUUUCGAUCACAUCUCCCUCAGUCAUCCGAGGGCUUCAAGGUCUUCUUGUUCUCUAUGACCAGCUUGUCGGCGCUGUACAAAUGGCCGAUGAUCACCUGUAGACAUGUAGAGGUUAAUAAACUUGACCAACUGAUAAGAAAAAAGGGGCAGCAAAA
Molecule: RNA transcript, 2091 nt
Organism: Drosophila subpulchrella
Lineage: Eukaryota; Metazoa; Arthropoda; Insecta; Diptera; Drosophilidae
Gene: Pgd
Gene name: 6-phosphogluconate dehydrogenase, decarboxylating
Exons: 4
Source: RefSeq, a predicted model, not a curated record